AUUGAACGCUAGCGGGAUGCUUUACACAUGCAAGUCGAACGGCAGCGCGGACUUCGGUCUGGCGGCGAGUGGCGAACGGGUGAGUAAUGUAUCGGAACGUGCCCAGUAGCGGGGGAUAACUACGCGAAAGCGUAGCUAAUACCGCAUACGCCCUACGGGGGAAAGCAGGGGAUCGUAAGACCUUGCACUAUUGGAGCGGCCGAUAUCGGAUUAGCUAGUUGGUGAGGUAACGGCUCACCAAGGCGACGAUCCGGAGCUGGUUUGAGAGGACGACCAGCCACACUGGGACUGAGACACGGCCCAGACUCCUACGGGAGGCAGCAGUGGGGAAUUUUGGACAAUGGGGGCAACCCUGAUCCAGCCAUCCCGCGUGUGCGAUGAAGGCCUUCGGGUUGUAAAGCACUUUUGGCAGGAAAGAAACGUCGCGGGCUAAUACCCCGUGGAACUGACGGUACCUGCAGAAUAAGCACCGGCUAACUACGUG
This 484-nucleotide ribosomal RNA is filed under the name uncultured bacterium. RNAcentral describes it as "partial 16S ribosomal RNA". It matches the Rfam family "Bacterial small subunit ribosomal RNA", at positions 30 to 507 of the family's 1533-position model. The record is from RNAcentral.